Cavia porcellus (domestic guinea pig) is the source of this 3225-nucleotide long non-coding RNA. RefSeq lists it as uncharacterized. The transcript has 3 exons. The record is from RefSeq and is a predicted model, not a curated record. NCBI's taxonomy places the organism in Eukaryota, Metazoa, Chordata, Mammalia, Rodentia, Caviidae.
UUGUCAUGCUGGUUUUCCUGAAAUGAACUCAGCUGUUCUCAUAGUCAGAGGAGUCUGAGUCUUCACUGUCACUGCAAAUGGCUGCAAUUCUGUUUGAGGGAGCUCUGGACCUUACCUCGAGCAUCACCUCCUGGAUUCAGUGCAGAAGCCUCAGCCUGCUGACACAGACACUUUAUCCCACUGGGAAGAAAGACUCCCAGGUUCCAUAGCUGGGUCUGUGAAGUAAGCUGACAACAGUGAGAUCAGCAGCAGAACAGGCCUAAAGCAAUGGAGCCAGCCAACCAUGGACUGAUACCACAGGAACCAUGAAAGCUACUGUAACUCUCACCUCUUCAGUGAUCUGCACGGCCAGAGCUUGCUCACAGAAGUUAAGAAGGGAAGCAGUCCAAAAACAUCAGUUUGCAUUUGUUUGCAUCUAUUUGCAUUUGUUCAAUCCUUGGAGCUCCUUUGUUUGUUUUCUUGUACCUGGUAGGUAUUCCUCAGAAAAUAUUCAAAAUUACUAUCCAGAAAAAAACUUAGCUCACAAAAGAGCCAAUGAAAUGGUCAAAGAGGCUGAGAAAUACAAAUUUUCCCAUGUGCCCAGGAAGAGGAAAUGGGAUGGAUGGGCAGGCACUGAGUCAGUUUCUGUUAAAACUGCCAAGUCAUUUUCCCUCACAUCCAAACAUUUUCUAGAUUAUUCUGUUCAAGCAUUAAUUUUAAAAAUUAACAUUAGUAAUAAUAGCUACUGUUUAUUGAGUACUUACUACGUGUCAGGCUCUGUGGUAACCACCCAGCAUGCAUUCAUUUAUCAAACUCUUACAUUAAUUGAUCAAAUCUUAUAACAUAGGCACUGCUUUUAUCUCCAUUUCACACCCUGAGGCAAAGGGAGAUAAGGAAAAUGAAGCAGAGGGAGAUAAAAUGAGCUGCCCAAGCUGCACGGCUAGAACCUGAUGUGAGCAAUUCUAAACUGUGGCAGCUUCUACUUCUUCAUAGCACUCUCCUGGGAAGUUACUCGUUUUCCUUCUUCCUGCCUUUCUUGCUCCAGCCUGAAGACCAGGGUUGUCUCAUCUUGCCCUUCACGCCUGCUACUCAUCAUUAUGGGUCAGCAUCAUUCCUCCACCAGCCCUUGACCCUCACAGCCAGCUAUUAUCCACAGACCUCCUGGUGGUGACCAUCCCCUCACUGAAGUGCACAGCCUCUGGCUUAUGGUCUUCUUCCCCUGCCACUUUUUACCAUUGUCUGGGCAAUCUCAGAAUUCAUGUGCAUGACAUGUGUGACUCCACAGCUUGAGUAUCACUUUGCUGUCCACUAAAGGUCCCUGUUUAACAAAAUCUUCUGGAUCUAGUUGUCAACAGGGGUAGAUUGACCUGCACAAUCUAUCUCUCCCAUCAACACCACCAUAUACACUAGAGAGCACUUCUCCAUCUUUCUAGAUGGCUGCUCAGUCCUGGCCUCAUUUCUUUUCCUAUGUAUCCUAUAAAUCUAUGAGCAGCUAUCUCAUGAAGGCACCAGAGGAGUCAGGUUGGAUGGUGUCCCAGGAAAUGGGAGUCAGAGGCAGGGAGUCAGAGACUCAGCCGGACAUAACCUGGCUGAGCAGCAGUUCUACUAUCAACAGAGAAGAGAGCUUGGGGAUUAUUGGAUUCUCCUUUCUCUAUCUAGGCAAAUUGUUAUGAGGCCAAGAGUGAAAAUCUUUGCCCUGGACCUAGUCCAGGCAGUCAAAUUUUUAUCUGAAUCUGACUGCAGAAUACCUUAUUAACCUAAGGUUCUCCCUAAAGGGAAGAUUCUCAUGCUUCACCUCAAACCUCUUGAGUCAGUCUUUGGGGGUCAGAUCUAGGAAUCUGGAUUUUAAAUAAAAUUCAAUGUGUUCCUAAUGUAAGUAAUGAUUCAAAUAUAUAAAAGUAUGUGGUAAUCAUGAUUCCCCAUUAUGUGGCCUUGAAACCUUAUAAAGUUUUCACUUAUUAAUUGGAAUGGCUUUAUUCUGGGCUUCUUGAUAUGGAAAUAUUUGAAGCUAUAGUAUAUGAAGUUAUAUUCAAAUAUUUCAAGGAAAAAGACAGACACUCUGGAACUACUAUUAAGUCGGGUAACUAGGUUGCUGAAACCUGUAUUGUUAUGUUGUUUUGCUUUGACCUGUAUUGUUUUGUUGUCAUGUCCUCUUUUAUCUCAACCUCUCCCUUAUUCAUUAAAAAAUUAUUUAGUUAUUUUUUAUGGUUUUUUUAAUUAAGGGGAAAAAUUUUAAAAAUUAGCAGAAUAUAUUAUAGUAACUUUUUGAUUUCCUAUUAACUUGACUUGAAGUCCUGUAAUACUCCUACUAUCUUGUUUUGACUGAUUAGUCUCUGUUCCAUUCUGUAUGAUAGUAUCAAGUUUGAGGGUAUAGGCAACUACUUUGAAGACAAUAAGAUUCACUAAGAUGCCCAUUCUUGUUUGACUAUUAUCUCCUUUGGAAGUCCUUUAAUGUUUACAAUGUUUAAGUUUUAUUGGUCUUGUUCUCUACUGUUUUGUUCAACUUUAUAAUAUGUAAUGAGAUAGACAAUUCUUCUUAAGGAUACAAGAGGCAUUAUGGUAACCAUUGUUGAUAACCCUGUACUCUGUUUUUACAUCAUGUACUAUGUCUAUCCUUGGUUUUGACUGACAGCUUUGUUUUGCCAUAUUUGACUAUAUUCUCUUCCAAAAGAAAGUAAUAAGAACUAAGGAGUAAUAAAACCCAAAAUGUGUAAAUUUUGUUGUAAAAAAAAGAGGGAAAAAAAGUGCUCUAAAGGAUACAACUGCAAGUGUGUUUAGGGGUGUUAAAUAGCUGACCAUAUUAAUGUUUUUGGUUGGAUCAUUAAACACAACUGUUUGCAGUCUCUCUGUUUGAAUGUUCAUUUUGUAUGCUUUGAUACUGUGACUUGAGCAACUAUCUCUAAGUUGAUAAUGUGUAAUCUAUUAACUGGUGAUUUCUUACUUUUUUUUUUUUUUUUUUUUGUAGUUCUGUAUUACUUGUACCCUUAUACCGCUUUGUUUUGAUUUGUUUUUUCUUUUUCCUUUUAAAUAAAAUUUAAAAAAAUUCAAUGUGUUUUUCAAAAUCUUCAGUAUUCAAGGAUCACUAACUUACCAGGGGAGAAACAUUCACCCUGGAAGGUGUUAAAAAUCUGUAUCACCUCCUAAUCCCACCCUGUGAUUCACCCCUCUUGGCUGGAUCCAGGCUUACCGAUCAGUUGUGAUUUUUCUUUGAAGCACCCUAAAGCUAAUUCCACUUUGCUCCCAGAA